RNAcentral lists this long non-coding RNA (283 nucleotides) under Olea europaea (common olive). Its description in RNAcentral is "long non-coding RNA (OEUR_LNC009598)". Lineage: Eukaryota; Viridiplantae; Streptophyta; Magnoliopsida; Lamiales; Oleaceae. The record is from RNAcentral.
UGGUUGUAAUACUCUGUUUUUAAAUGAAUAUAUGUUCUCAUCUACAUAGUGAUUGGUAGAUGUCAGAAGAUCAUAUCGUUACGUCUAUAAUGUUAUACUGUGAACACCAGACACAAUGAUUCUAAGAACAGCAAAUAAUUAUCUUGGGUGCAUCAAGUGUUCUUUGCCAUUUUAAUUGUUACAAGAUAUUUGGUGCCUUGUGCUGUUAGACAAUUGAACUUGACAGCAUAAAAUUGAUUUUCUUGUAAAAGAGACUGAUAUCAGAAGAUUUUUUUUUUUUUUU